CACCAAUGCCUGGGACCACACAAUCUGCUGUAUAUAUCUGCAAGAAUUCAUCAGCCCACCAGUGGUGCAUUAGAAUAAACCACUAUAUGCAGCUUUGCUAUACCUCAUCUGGGUUCUGUUGUAAGGACAGAAGGGCAGUGAGUUCCCGCUGUGAAGCCCUGUAACCCGCAUGGCUCUGAGGAAUACAGUAAAACCCAAUUUAAGUGCCAGCAGAGAGACUGUUCCAGAGCAGGCCUGCAGGGAGGGGGAGAAGCUCUUCUGGAAGGUGAGACAUGGGGAGUUGAUGUUUUCUCCUCACAUGCAAUUUCUGCAAUCCAUACUUUUCUCUGAGGCUGUGCCAGACACAUGGGCUAAACUGGCAUAUCCAUCUACACACAGCCUUGCCUGCUGGGUUACCGAUCUUCUCGUGCACUAAGGAAAAUGUGACAUCUGGACACAGGACCUCGUGCUGCCAGUGGUGGUGUGGCUUUCUGGCUUGUUCAAUCCUCAGUCCUUUCUGACAGGUAAGCAGUGAUGGUUGUAAGGAACCAGACAUAUGGUUUCACUGU
Molecule: long non-coding RNA, 548 nt
Filed under: Athene cunicularia (burrowing owl)
Lineage: Eukaryota; Metazoa; Chordata; Aves; Strigiformes; Strigidae
Description: lncRNA (ENSACUG00000008332.1)
Source: RNAcentral